Molecule: ribosomal RNA, 327 nt
Filed under: uncultured fungus
Lineage: Eukaryota; Fungi
Description: eukaryotic LSU rRNA
Source: RNAcentral
AACUUUUCGUUUUAACGGAACCGACCAACUUAGUUCGGCCCCGGCCCCGUCGGUUAGGUUUACCGUUCCCGGGGGCCGGGACUAGUCCGUCCGUUUCGGUUACGGACGGUCCGUACUUAAUUUAGUACCGAAACCUAACUAACGAACGUCCUCGCGUCGUCGUCGGGUCCGGGCCGUUGUACCGGCGGCCCUUAAAAAUCAGUGGCGGUGCCGUCUGGCUCUAAGCGUAGUAAUACUUCUCGCUACAGGGCCCAGUCGUUCACCCGCCAGAACCCCCAACUUUCUUAGGUUGACCUCGGAUCAGGUAGGGAUACCCGCUGAACUUAA